UGUAAACAACCUUGGUACGCUGUCUCGAUCAUCGAGUCACCAGCGAUAGGAUUUGUUGCAAGGACUGCUGCACACGAAUUAGCUCACAAUAUGAGGUGUGACCAUGAUAUCACUCCCGGGUGUUCGACAGAGGAACAGUUCGUAAUGUCGCCGAACUUUAACGUUGCUACAUACAAAUAUAGGACCAAUCCCUACAGAUUUUCUCCAUGCUGCAUUGAAAGCAUUCGUGCGCACCUUAAGGACCUGAGUGAUAUGAUAUCGAACGAGACCACGUAUGCACAUAGAUAUGAAUGUUUAAACCAUCAUUCAGCGCAAAACGAUUUUAGUUUUCUGGACAGAUCUAUAUUACCCGGACAACGAUAUACACUGAACGAUCAGUGUAGAUACUUAUUGAACGACCCAACUUCUUUU
Molecule: long non-coding RNA, 411 nt
Organism: Mytilus trossulus (common blue mussel)
Lineage: Eukaryota; Metazoa; Mollusca; Bivalvia; Mytilida; Mytilidae
Exons: 3
Source: RefSeq, a predicted model, not a curated record